This is a non-coding RNA of Misgurnus anguillicaudatus (oriental weatherfish), 1179 nucleotides long. The record is from RefSeq and is a predicted model, not a curated record. NCBI's taxonomy places the organism in Eukaryota, Metazoa, Chordata, Actinopteri, Cypriniformes, Cobitidae.
GCUUGGACCUGCAAGUUAAAUCCUGUUAGCAUUGCAUUGAAAGUGAAUCUUUCAAACAUGGUAAGGAGCGUCACAUUUCUACAUUUCUGGCUGGCGUCAGAAGUAUUCAGGCCAAUCACAACGUACAGUUUAGCUGGCCAAUCAGGGACACAGUGCUUUUUAAAUCAAUGAGUUUUGUACAAAAUCAGUGCGAUUCAGGAAGAAAGGGAAAUCUGGAGCUACAAAAAUGUACGGUAUGGGGAAAAUAAUGUGACGCAAACACGUUGUAUUAUACCAAAUACACAAAAUAGUGUUGUUUUUUUAUCAAUGAAAUAGUUGCACUAGACUAACUUGCAUUUUGAUGCCGUUGGUUUAUACUGACUCAUGUAAAUCCAGGAGCUACACCAAGGAUGCCACCCAUCUUUCCCUUUUUGUUGUCAUGGCAACCAACACAUUCAACACCAGCCGCCGUUCAACCCUCUUUUUAGGCUAAUCUAAGGACAACCAAAAUUGAUGAACAUUUUGGAUGACAUCUGCCUAAAUAUGACUCCUCCAAUUCUGCACUGAAACGAGUGCUUUGUCAGUUCAAUUCAAAUCAUUGAGAAGAUAAACCACCAAUCUUGAAACUCAACGGGAAUGAGGACCAAACAUACUGAAUAUAGAUGUCUGUCCAAUAAAAGCCAUUAUAGACUGAGGAUGAUGACCCCCCCCCCAAAUGCCACCUGCCACCAACCAGCAAGUGGAAAGUGAUGUAUUACCAGACUAUUGAAUAUUUGAAAUGAGGACAAAUGACAAGCAAAUGAGAAAUUACAGCCUAUGAGAUCUUAAGGUUAACAGAAUUUACCCUUCACAAUGCUGGUAAAUGUGUUCCUGCAGAUCAACUGUGUUCGCAGUGCAAAGACUAACACACAUACUAAAAUAUAUUGCUGGAAUGAACUUUAAGCUUAUUGCCAAACGCUUAAAUAAGAUUUUCUUCAAGCAGCAGAACAUUGGAUUAAUGGCUUUAAUAGCAAAUUAAAGAGAAUCUAAUGGUAGGGGGUAUAAUUACUAUUGUUGUCAUUUGCCACAAGAGACCAUGCAGCAGUUGCAGACAGACUAACAGUGGAAAGCGAGAAAAAACAAAACAGCGAAGCCACCCUCCUGUGGAGCUUGUCUGGAAGAAGCUUCUCUACACCUCUGCAGACCUUCAACCACAGUGGA